RNAcentral lists this ribosomal RNA (539 nucleotides) under uncultured bacterium. Its description in RNAcentral is "bacterial SSU rRNA". It matches the Rfam family "Bacterial small subunit ribosomal RNA", at positions 979 to 1509 of the family's 1533-position model. The record is from RNAcentral.
CCUUGACAUACUAAGAACUUUUCCAGAGAUUGGAUUGGUGCCUUUCGGGAACUUUAGAUACAGGUGCUGCAUGGCUGUCGUCAGCUCGUGUCGUGAGAUUGUUGGGUUAAGUCCCCGCAACGAGCGCAACCCUUUUUCCUUAUUUGCCAGCGGGUCAUGCCGGGAACUUUUAAGGAUACUGCCAGUGACAAACUGGAGGAAGGCGGGGACGACGUCAAGUCAUCAUGGCCCUUACGGCCAGGGCUACACACGUGCUACAAUGGUCGGUACAAAGGGUUGCUACCUCGCGAGAGGAUGCUAAUCUCAAAAAGCCGAUCGUAGUCCGGAUCGCAGUCUGCAACUCGACUGCGUGAAGUCGGAAUCGCUAGUAAUCGCGGAUCAGAAUGCCGCGGUGAAUACGUUCCCGGGCCUUGUACACACCGCCCGUCACACCAUGGGAGUUUGUUGCACCAGAAGUAGGUAGUCUAACCGCAAGGAGGACGCUUACCACGGUGUGGCCGAUGACUGGGGUGAAGUCGUAACAAGGUAGGCGUAGAUGA